AUUGAAACACCGGUUCCCAUAUGAUAACCAAAGUUAAGCAACAUUGAGCCUGGUCAGUAACUAGAUAGGUGACCACUUGGCAGAAUAUCAGGUGCUA
This is a non-coding RNA of Acanthosepion pharaonis, 97 nucleotides long. NCBI's taxonomy places the organism in Eukaryota, Metazoa, Mollusca, Cephalopoda, Sepiida, Sepiidae. The record is from the annotation of a GenBank genome assembly.